GCAGUGUUUUGGCCAAUGCACGGUCAUGGGGAGUGAAGAUUCUGUAUGUGGACGAUGUCAUUUUAUAUUUGAAACAUUUGACACGAGAAAGCUUUAGGCCAAAACAGAAAAGGCCUGAGCGGACUUACACCAAACCACAAGCAUCUCCUGUUGUCAAAGCUGCAGCUUUGAGAUCUCCCUAUAUUAAAAUUGAAGACUUGAGCAGGAAAUACAAGCC
This is a long non-coding RNA of Scomber japonicus (chub mackerel), 217 nucleotides long. RefSeq lists it as uncharacterized. The record is from RefSeq and is a predicted model, not a curated record. Lineage: Eukaryota; Metazoa; Chordata; Actinopteri; Scombriformes; Scombridae. The transcript is spliced from 5 exons.